This 465-nucleotide ribosomal RNA is filed under the name uncultured Klebsiella sp. RNAcentral describes it as "bacterial SSU rRNA". It matches the Rfam family "Bacterial small subunit ribosomal RNA", at positions 338 to 795 of the family's 1533-position model. Lineage: Bacteria; Pseudomonadati; Pseudomonadota; Gammaproteobacteria; Enterobacterales; Enterobacteriaceae. The record is from RNAcentral.
UCUACGGGGGGCAGCAGUGGGGAAUAUUGCACAAUGGACGCAAGCCUGAUGCAGCCAUGCCGCGUGUGUGAAGAAGGCCUUCGGGUUGUAAAGCACUUUCAGCGGGGAGGAAGGCGUUAAGGUUAAUAACCUUGUCGAUUGACGUUACCCGCAGAAGAAGCACCGGCUAACUCCGUGCCAGCAGCCGCGGUAAUACGGAGGGUGCAAGCGUUAAUCGGAAUUACUGGGCGUAAAGCGCACGCAGGCGGUCUGUCAAGUCGGAUGUGAAAUCCCCGGGCUCAACCUGGGAACUGCAUUCGAAACUGGCAGGCUAGAGUCUUGUAGAGGGGGGUAGAAUUCCAGGUGUAGCGGUGAAAUGCGUAGAGAUCUGGAGGAAUACCGGUGGCGAAGGCGGCCCCCUGGACAAAGACUGACGCUCAGGUGCGAAAGCGUGGGGAGCAAACAGGAUUAGAUACCCGAGUAGUC